RNAcentral lists this transfer RNA (76 nucleotides) under Clostridiales bacterium. RNAcentral's name for it is "tRNA-Thr". It matches the Rfam family "tRNA". From Rfam's summary of the family: Transfer RNA (tRNA) molecules are approximately 80 nucleotides in length. Their secondary structure includes four short double-helical elements and three loops (D, anti-codon, and T loops). The record is from RNAcentral. Lineage: Bacteria; Bacillati; Bacillota; Clostridia; Eubacteriales.
GCUGAUGUAGCACAGUUGGUAGUGCAUUCGAUUCGUAAUCGAAAGGUCACGGGUUCAAGUCCCGUCAUCAGCUCCA